RNAcentral lists this long non-coding RNA (228 nucleotides) under Mytilus galloprovincialis (Mediterranean mussel). The record is from RNAcentral. Lineage: Eukaryota; Metazoa; Mollusca; Bivalvia; Mytilida; Mytilidae.
AAAAUUGUUAUCCGUUGGAAGUCAGUUGAUGUACUGACCAAAUAAAUCGGACGCGUAUCGAAUGCAUAACUGACACACACCGGAUAUGCAACGUACGAGAAACGGAAACGUACAGGACAGAACGGAUGCCGAACGUACGUCCAACGGACGAGUACCGCAUAAAACUGACACAUAACGGAAGCGUACCGAAUAAAACAGAUGAACAAGAUAUACAGAAAAAUUAAAGGC